GACGGGGGGGGCAAGCGUUGUUCGGAAUUACUGGGCGUAAAGGGCUCGUAGGCGGCCAACUAAGUCAGACGUGAAAUCCCUCAGCUUAACUGGGGAACUGCGUCUGAUACUGGAUGGCUUGGAUUCGGGAGAGGAAUGCGGAAUUCCAGGUGUAGCGGUGAAAUGCGUAGAUAUCUGGAGGAACACCGGUGGCGAAGGCGGCAUUCUGGACCGACAUUGACGCUGAGGAGCGAAAGCCAGGGGAGCAAACGGG
RNAcentral lists this ribosomal RNA (253 nucleotides) under uncultured bacterium. Its description in RNAcentral is "partial 16S ribosomal RNA". It matches the Rfam family "Bacterial small subunit ribosomal RNA", at positions 524 to 776 of the family's 1533-position model. The record is from RNAcentral.